GCGCGGGCGCGGACCUGCUGCAAGCUGUGCCAUGGGUCCCAUUUCCUGAAGAAAGCGUGUCUGUGAUGCCUGGCCUUUACACACUUUCAGCAAGCCUGAUCAACAAGAAGAGGCAUUUAACCUGUGACACACAUAGCAGCCUGCAAGCUCGAAGCGAUGGCCCGCUGUUAGAAAAGCAAAGUACUUGUUGCUAGAAUUGUCUUUAGGACUCAGGGCUGGGCACGUUUCACUGAUCUCAGUCCCAGAGGGAGGCUGACAAAACUUGGGAAGAAGGAUGCCCACUGAUAGCGGACACAAAAGAUGCAGAAUUUAGGGGCCAUGCGGACAUCUGCUGGAACUGCCAAGAUAAGGAAAGCACUCAUAAGUCAACAGUCCUAAGUAAAGUCAGCUCAGCAAAUAUGCAGAGAGGAGCACCAGCUGGGUAAGAAAGAGUGUGAUGUUUGCAGGCAACAGGACUUUGGCACCCAAAUUAUCCUGGGCGUGGCCACGGCAUGGUUCCGGUCAGGAGAAGACAUGGAAUGACGGCGCAGUGCAAGCGCUGGGCAUUGUGCUUCAAGAACCCAGAUGAAAAAGCUGGUGAGACUGUGCUGGAUUCUGGUAUGCUGCCUAACCAUUCUGUUACAGCUGUUGGAGUUAGUGGGGGAAGAUGUGUUGUCAUGUGGAAUAACCUCAUUUAUUUUGACAAAAAGCAGUCUUCAUGGUGUGAAGAUAAUGAUAAUGAACUGAAACCACACCAGAGAGCUUUGAAGGAAUUGUUUCGUGUAUCUGAUUUCUGAAAAGAUGAUCUGUGUAUUUGCUCAGGUCCUGCUAAACUUCUCUGCUGUGAUGAAUCCACACAGGACUCUUUCAAGCAUGCCAUGCUGGUUUGGAAGCCUUUGCACCCUGGCAGAACCUGCCAACUGAUGCUGCCCUGAAUUUCCAGGAGGGUGAGCAGAGGAGCUGUGUGAGGCAGGAGCAGCAGGCUGGUGCCUCCAGAAGAGCUGGCUGUGCUGCCCAUCCCGGAGCAGGAAUGCCACAAGUGCAGCCAUUCCCUCCAGGAACACCCAGCACCUGCGUCAGGGACACCGCAGAGGUGACAGAUGUGCAGCAGCCCCGGUGCCUGUAAAAAUACUAUAAAAAUACCAGCUGCUGUGCAAACACUGGGCUGCUUCUCUCUGUAAGUGUUCUUGAACAAAACCCUUCCCUGGGGGGUGCUCCCUGUGGGAGCGUGGCCGAGGCCAGGACUUCCAGAACUGGAGAGAUUCCCUGGCAUGAAGGAUCUCUUCACAGCCAGCACAGAACUGGAAAAUCCUAGAAUGGCCUGGGUUGGAAGCGACCUUAAAACCUAUCUCAUUCCCACCCUCCUGCCAUGGCAGGGAUACCUUCCACUAUCCCAGGUUGUUCCAAGCCCCAUCCAGCCUGGCCUUGGACACUUCCCAGGAUCCAGGGGCAGCCACAGCCUCUCUGUGCCAGGGCCUGACCACCCUCACAGGGAGUAUUUCUUCCCAAUAUCUAAUCUAAACCUACUUUCUGUCAGUCUGAAACCAUUCCCCCUUGUUCUGUCUUUCCAGGACCCUGUAAAAAGUUUCUUUCCAUCUUUCUUGUGGGCUCCUUGCAGGUACUGGAAGAUCAAAAUGGACUUUCUGUGCACCUAAGACAGAUUUGGACAGAGCUGUACUACUGAGCCCUCUAGGGCUAUUGGAAUCCUGGGAAAAUGGAAGAAGUAGAAAAUAAACUUUAAACCAGAG
This is a long non-coding RNA of Passer domesticus (house sparrow), 1727 nucleotides long. RefSeq lists it as uncharacterized. The record is from RefSeq and is a predicted model, not a curated record. The transcript is spliced from 4 exons. NCBI's taxonomy places the organism in Eukaryota, Metazoa, Chordata, Aves, Passeriformes, Passeridae.